AAUAAGAAUAUGCUUACCGUAGACAGUAGGUGCCGCAAGGCUUAAUUCCCUACCGAGGUGUUGUGAUAGAACGUCAAUGCAUGCAGCGUUGCUGUGUACAGAUGAUCCGUCAAGCCUUCGUGAUUCUGCGGAGGCUUUUUU
This 141-nucleotide small RNA is filed under the name Paenibacillus rubeinfantis. Its description in RNAcentral is "Paenibacillus rubinfantis Ribosomal protein L10 leader". It matches the Rfam family "Ribosomal protein L10 leader". Rfam says of the family: This family is a putative r-protein leader autoregulatory structure found in B. subtilis and other low-GC Gram-positive bacteria. The record is from RNAcentral. Lineage: Bacteria; Bacillati; Bacillota; Bacilli; Caryophanales; Paenibacillaceae.